RNAcentral lists this long non-coding RNA (2278 nucleotides) under Homo sapiens (human). RNAcentral describes it as "HSALNT0211848". Lineage: Eukaryota; Metazoa; Chordata; Mammalia; Primates; Hominidae. The record is from RNAcentral.
GUGGGAAGCAAAUCUGGAGCAGCAGGAACAGGACCAGGGAUCUGUAGAAGAGAUCUUCACAGUUCACUCGAAAAAAAUAGCAGAGGGGAAGAAAAAAGCCCUGAAACCAUUUACAUCAUUUCUGUGAGAUUGCCAACCGCCUCAACGGAGAGGCUUUCUUUUCUAAGAGUUCAUUUUCUUGAAAUACGACAAGGCAGGGGCAAAAUAAAGAGGGCGAUGAAGAUAAUGACAAAGCAUAAACCUUCUUUCCCUUGGAGCGACUUCCGAAUCAGCCGGAAGGACAACUUUUAGAAAGAAACAUCGGAUACAAGGGCCCCGAACACGCAGGCGGAGGAGAAUCCGCGGUGCAGAAAAAGAGGGCCUCGGUGGCCGGGCAGGGAUGAAGCCGGACCCGGGAGGGCUGCGAUCCCGGAGCUUCUGGCCAGGGGAGGAAAGCACCCCCUUGCUCCAGUUUGCAGAGGUUUAUUUUCCCUCUCGGGGUGGUUACUUUGCCGGCUAUUGCUCGCGAAAUUGCUUGGCGCUCACCCUUAGCGCGCAGAAGAGGCGGUGGGGUCCGCGGAGACCUUACAGCCCGCGAGCCGAGCCGAGAGCCGACCCCGAUCCCAGCGCCUAGCUGCUGAGGUGGGAGAGGUUGUCCAUGCCCCAGGAGACCACACGUCUCCCUCUCGCCCUUUUACUGGACAGUUUGGAAGCGGCACAUUCGGGGAGAGCUGGUUUCUUACCCUUAAUCUUUGUGAGCAAGUGGACAGUCUAGGGGCCCCAUCCAGGAAAUGGGAAUAUUUAUCCCAUGGCCCAUUUCUUGGAUAAUAGUUCUGCAAAUAAUUAGAUGAGGGCGCUUUAGCUUCUGCGUGUCUGAGGCUCGCGGGCAACUGGAACUGAGAGUCUGAGUUGGCCUCGCGGGAGCCGCCAGAAGGGUGCGGGCUGCGUGUGGCAGAGUAGGAGCACUGUCUGGUGGCUUGGCAGGAAGGGACUGAGAAGUGCCUGGAGGUUGGGGACUACUAUCAGGAGAUCCAUCUUCGCCAUCGCAAGGGACUUGAUUUAAUUUUAUUAACCCAAAGGAAAUAGACUGCGCCAGGGCACCUUGGAAUCACUUAUUUGUUCACCAGCUUCACAAGGGGAAGGGACGAACAGGAAGAAGUAUGUGAGCCGAGCCCCCUGGGAAAGAGGGAAGCUCCACGGGAUUCCUUAGGAAUAACCCUCUUUUGGGGAAGGCGGUGACCCUCACCCCACCUUUAAGGUGUACUUCUCCCAAGUUUGCCAGACGAAAGCUGUGACUUCGGGCUGGCUUUUCUUAAUUUUACAGAAGGGUAUAUAUUUUUUUCUUUUACCAGUUUUGAGGUUUUGUGCCAACCCUCCAGGCAACCCCUCACUUCUUAUCCCACAUUUCAUUUUUCUUUUGCAUUUGACCGGGAAAUCGAGAAAGUACAGUGGCAGCCCUUGGCCUUGGGCCUGUCUGGGUGGUUUUGCAGCUUGCUACUGGUGGUUUGCAGCUAGUAGAUUGGGACAUGAGGUCUUGGACAAAGGCUCGGGUCUUGCCGGGAAUCCAUAGACGUCUACUCAGCUUUCUCUAGAGUUGCAUUUUGUGGGGCAAAUAUGGAGAAAAAAAUCAUGUAGAAGAUGAUGUCCAAGGGCUGGUUUUGUAGCUAACUGUUUCGUGCUGGAUUUAGGCAAAGUGCCCCCAGGGAAUUCUGAGGCUCAUGCCGGAAAUAUCUGGAGUUCAGUGUGGGACUUCUGCACAUAUGGGGAUCUCACUCCUCGCUCUGCCCCUACUGAUUUUCCUCUCUAGAGUAGAGGACAGGUGGAAUCCUGGUCACACCCUGCUCACAUUUGCCAGAGGAGAGCAGUGCUUAGAAGUCAAUACUUUCCUACCUCUGGGUUCCAAUCUUAUCUUUUCUUUGACUUUUCCUAAGUCAAAUGUCUUUUUUAAAAUGUUGUGUUUUUGUUUUUUUCUCACACAAUUUCACAUAAUCAGCUAUUUUAAGAAUGCGGUAAUUGAAUCCAUCUGAAUUCCUUGAUAAAGACAUUUGUGCUGCAUCUGAGAGUCACAGACUGGAAGACAAUGAGGUCCCCAGUCUUUUGUGUGAUUUGGACUUUGGAAGAGAUCUUGGUUUCCCUUUCCUGUGUCUCAAAGCCGAGUGUUGGUGGUGACAACUGGCUUUUAGUUUUAUAACUCUACUUCUAAAAAAGUAUAAAAUAAUCUAGAAAGUUUUAAAAGGCAUUUUUCCGAGUUUGAAAUUACACUAUUAAAAAUUUACACUUUCAAACAUUUAUUUAUUUG